AUUGUACUAAAAAUUCUCUCAAUUUCUCUCUCGCUUUCAAUCAUUCGCUCGGUUAUAAUAAUAUUUAAAAUGGGGCAAUUUUCUCGUUCAAUUUCAGCUGUAGUCCUUCUUAUGUUGGUUCUUUUAGCAACAGAGAUGGGACCUGUGACAGCGGAUGGUGAUAAGAUAUGCGAGUCCCGAAGCAAUGCAUUCAAGGGGUUAUGCUUACGUGAUAACAAUUGUGAUAUUGUUUGCAAGACCGAGGGUUUUCCUAAUGGAGGUUGCAAAGGUUUUAUUCGCAAAUGCGUCUGCACUAAGCCUUGUUAGAUGAGCAAUUUCAUUAUACUUUAUCCCCUUUCCUCUUGUUAUGCAUGUGCACGAGAAUUGAGAGAAUAAAAUUUUCACAACAUAUUUCUGUACAAGGAAAUUUAUUAUUAUUGAAUAUUAACUUCUAAAUUAAUUC
Molecule: long non-coding RNA, 442 nt
Organism: Gossypium raimondii (Peruvian cotton)
Lineage: Eukaryota; Viridiplantae; Streptophyta; Magnoliopsida; Malvales; Malvaceae
Exons: 2
Source: RefSeq, a predicted model, not a curated record